GUGUCAGCAGCCGCGGUAAGACAGAGGGUGCAAACGUUGUUCGGAAUUACUGGGCGUAAAGCGCGUGUAGGCUGUCCUGCAAGUCAGGUGUGAAAGCCCUGGGCUCAACCUAGGAAGUGCACUUGAAACUGCGGGAAUCGAGGGCUGGAGAGGGAAGCGGAAUUCUCGGUGUAGAGGUGAAAUUCGUAGAUAUCGAGAGGAACACCGGUGGCGAAGGCGGCUUCCUGGACAGUUACUGACGCUGAGACGCGAAAGCGUGGGGAGCAAACAGGAUUAGAUACCCUCGUAGUCC
This 292-nucleotide ribosomal RNA is filed under the name uncultured bacterium. Its description in RNAcentral is "partial 16S ribosomal RNA". It matches the Rfam family "Bacterial small subunit ribosomal RNA", at positions 505 to 796 of the family's 1533-position model. The record is from RNAcentral.